This 398-nucleotide ribosomal RNA is filed under the name Ventrifissuridae sp. RNAcentral describes it as "partial small subunit ribosomal RNA". It matches the Rfam family "Eukaryotic small subunit ribosomal RNA", at positions 582 to 975 of the family's 1831-position model. Lineage: Eukaryota; Cercozoa; Thecofilosea; Ventricleftida; Ventrifissuridae. The record is from RNAcentral.
AUUCCAGCUCCAGUAGCGUAUAUUAAAGUUGUUGCAGUUAAAAAGCUCGUAGUUGGAUUUCUGGUACGCUGCGCCUGAGCCGCCUGCUUUAAGCAUGGUGUGUCUCGGAGCGCGGUUGCCAUCCUUCUAGAAAACGUUUCUAUCCUUCGCUGGACCGGAUUCGCAAUCUAGAUCUUUUACUUUGAAAAAAUUAGAGUGUUUAAAGCAGGCUUAUGCUAUGAAUACAUUAGCAUGGAAUAAUAAUAUAGGACUUUGGUUCUAUUUUGUUGGUUUCUAGAACUAAAGUAAUGAUUGAUAGGGAUAGUUGGGGGUGCUAGUAUUCAGCGGCCAGAGGUGAAAUUCUUGGAUUCGCUCAAGACUAACUUAUGCGAAAGCAUUCACCAAGGAUGUCUUCAUUG